GGAGAGGUGUCCGAGUACGGCUUAAGGAGCACGCCUGGAAAGCGUGUUUAGGUUAAACUAACGGAGGUUCGAAUCCUCUCCUCUCCGCCA
This 90-nucleotide transfer RNA is filed under the name Desulfovibrio sp. S3730MH75. RNAcentral describes it as "tRNA-Ser". It matches the Rfam family "tRNA". From Rfam's summary of the family: Transfer RNA (tRNA) molecules are approximately 80 nucleotides in length. Their secondary structure includes four short double-helical elements and three loops (D, anti-codon, and T loops). Further hydrogen bonds mediate the characteristic L-shaped molecular structure. tRNAs have two regions of fundamental functional importance: the anti-codon, which is responsible for specific mRNA codon recognition, and the 3' end, to which the tRNAs corresponding amino acid is attached (by aminoacyl-tRNA synthetases). tRNAs cope with the degeneracy of the genetic code in two manners: having more than one tRNA (with a specific anti-codon) for a particular amino acid; and 'wobble' base-pairing, i.e. permitting non-standard base-pairing at the 3rd anti-codon position. Lineage: Bacteria; Pseudomonadati; Thermodesulfobacteriota; Desulfovibrionia; Desulfovibrionales; Desulfovibrionaceae. RNAcentral also lists the same sequence under 1 other name. The record is from RNAcentral.